Non-coding RNA from Monodelphis domestica (gray short-tailed opossum), 496 nucleotides. The record is from RefSeq and is a predicted model, not a curated record. Lineage: Eukaryota; Metazoa; Chordata; Mammalia; Didelphimorphia; Didelphidae.
AAUCUAAUGAUUCUCAAUAUUUCUUUGAUGGUAUUAUUUAGGAAUCUGAAUUCAUUUAACAGUCAACCAAAGGCAAAGUCAAAGUCAACAUUAUUGCCUGGAAAUGAAAAUUAACUGGAAAGUAAUAUCUCUUCUACAGUUAGACAGGUGAAGUCAAGACGCUGAACUAGUAAGAAAAUAGAAAAAAAAGCCUACAGACACUAGUAGAAGAUGUUUGAUUUGAGAAGCAUGAAGGUCAUUAUAUCUCUUUGCUUUUAUGUCUCCUGAGAUACGUUUGAAAAUGACUUUUAAAAAAUGAAACAUAUAGCAAGGAAAAACUGCAUACACUGCUUACAUUUUCAUGCUUUUGUGUAUUACUCAUGCUUUUUUUUAUCAACCUGAUUGAUUCCUUGCUGCAAUUACAUUAAUGUUUAUAUAGAUGUGAUCAUUGCUUGUUGGAUAAAUAUUUCACAAUAUGUAAAAUAUCAAAUGGAAAAUAAAAUAAGAGUUACAGCUG